This 2957-nucleotide ribosomal RNA is filed under the name Trichormus sp. NMC-1. RNAcentral's name for it is "bacterial LSU rRNA". The stretch from base 1443 to 2957 matches the Rfam family "Bacterial large subunit ribosomal RNA". The record is from RNAcentral. Lineage: Bacteria; Bacillati; Cyanobacteriota; Cyanophyceae; Nostocales; Nostocaceae.
AGUAUGGGGGUUCUUAGUACCUGCACCCUUCUCCAUGUCAUAAGGCUGGGCAAUUAAGCAGCCGCGAUCGCCCCAAAACUGAUGCAAUAUACCUAUUACUGACUGAAAAUUCACGCUCUACUCUUCCUUAAGUCAACAAUUCAUAAACCAUUGUUGCCUAAACCCAGCAUUGUGAGCAGUUUUGAGCCGUUAAAAAAAUCCCGAAAAAAAGUUUGAGAAAGUAGUUGACAAACGAAAGGAGGUUCGAUAUAUUGAAUAAGUGCCGGAAGAGAGAACGCCGCAAAGCGAACUCGGAAGGACACCGAACCUUGAAAAUAUUAUAGUUUGAAAGACAGUAUACAACAAGUACCCUGCGUCAGAAAAGAAAAUAACUGUUUAAGGGUAAAUUUCCUGCGAUUAGCAUAUAUUCUCUGAACUAGAAUCGCUCCUACUACACCCAUAACCAAAAUCCAUACACCACCCCAAGGAAUUGCUGUAAACAGCAAACCCAAAAUAUAACUAAGACAAAUAAUUAUUCCACUCGUCUGCAUCAUAAAAUUUUAUUGCCAAAGCACACAGCAUUGAAAAUACUCCAUCAACUUUCCUAUAGGGAAGUUUAUAAAUGAAGUUUAUAAAUUAGGACUUACGCAAAACAGAACCAAAGUAGCAGUAAUUCAUGAAUUACCGCUACACAGGAAUAAGGUUUUCUCCAGGGGCAAGUCAGAUGUUAUUAAAUCUACCAAUUCCCGUGCAAGGAUUGACACCGCCACUGAAUGGUCGCUCUACAUUUAUGCGCUUGUCGAGUAAUGGAACUGUUUACGCAGCUAGUUUAGCUAUGUUUGCUCGCACGAAUGUUGAUGGUAGUGAACGUGCGCCCAAUUUAGCAGAGUGGCAAAAUUUAUUAGAUAACGGUGAAUUAUCUACACCUAGAGAUAAAGUCCCAACUCCCCUUGAAGAAACUGGUAAACCAAGGAUUUAUGGAAGGGUAGCAGGUGUAGCAAGUGGUUCUCAAUGGCGAUCGCUCUUAGUCGAUAAUCCUAAAGUUAAUUAUUUGACAAUUCCUCAACCCGGUCAAGCUUUUUCUUACCCUUUAAGCACACUACAUGGUGGAACUUUUGGUACCGGUCAAAUUCAAAGCGCAUCUAUGUUAGUCCGCUAUCCUGAUACGGCUUAUCGCGCUCAUGGCAAUUAUGGAAUUCAGUAUAGUCUUAGGUUGCCUUUAUACAAUACAACUCAAAAACAGCAAACUGUAACUGUGUCGGUGCAAACUCCCAUCAAAGAAGAUCAGUUAAAUAAAUCAGGACUACGCUUUUUCACCACACCAGCGCGUCAAGUCUUCUUUCGAGGAACAGUGCGAGUACGUUAUCAAGAUGAUCAAGGUAAACCAAAAACUGAGUUUGUACAUUUAGUGCAAACCAGAGGUGAACAAGGGAAACCAUUAGUAUCAUUAAAUAUGAAGUCUCGGUCUAAGGCAUUGAGGGCAAUGCGACGUAAUAAAGCAAAGUUUUGUGGACUGUGCAUAGAACGGAUUCGAGAUUCAUCUUCAUGGAAAGUGACAUCUAAUGUCCAAUGAACAGAGUUUUCAAUGCCCCAAUGUUGUCGGAUUGCACUACCAAUUUUGUUAGCAUCACUAUCAAGACUAGUGAUAUAAAAUUGCACCUCAUGAGUAGUUUUAUUCCAAUGCUGAAUCUUCCGAACUACCAUAACUACUGUUGUUAAUCUGGAAUUUUGGCAUAGGAGGUGUUUCACCACUAAUCACUUGGUGAAUUAACCCAUAUCGAGAUUUACGCUUGGGGACAGCUUGUAAACUUGGGCCUACUAGUCCAUCUGCUUCUAAACCGUGACAUCCAGCACAGUUGAUUUGAAAGAUAGCCUUUCCCUGUACUGGGUUUCCCAUCAGCGAUAGGACAUUCUUGACAUAUGGAUCGGAGGCUUGAGCCAUCUGAACACCAAGAAUGGCCAAAGGGAUUACUAUGAGUAUCGCCAAAGCCGACAAAGCGAUCCACAGGUAGCGAAAUUCCUUGUCGGGUAAGUUCCGACCCGCACGAAAGGCGUAACGAUCUGGAUGGUGUCUCAGAGAGAGACUCGGCGAAAUAGGAAUGUCUGUGAAGAUACGGACUGCCUGCACCUGGACAGAAAGACCCUAUGAAGCUUUACUGUAGCCUGGAAUUGUGUUCGGGCUUCGCUUGCGCAGGAUAGGUGGGAGGCGUUGAGAUAUUCCUUGUGGGGAAUAUGGAGCCAACGGUGAGAUACCACUCUGGCGAAGCUAGAAUUCUAACCCAUCUCCGUUAGCCGGAGAGGGAACAGUUUCAGGUGGGCAGUUUGACUGGGGCGGUCGCCUCCUAAAAAGUAACGGAGGCGCGCAAAGGUUCCCUCAGCACGCUUGGAAACCGUGCGACGAGUGUAAAGGCAUAAAGGGAGCUUGACUGCAAGACCGACAAGUCGAGCAGGUACGAAAGUAGGCCUUAGUGAUCCGACGGCGCAGCAUGGAAUGGCCGUCGCUCAACGGAUAAAAGUUACUCUAGGGAUAACAGGCUGAUCUCCCCCAAGAGUCCACAUCGACGGGGAGGUUUGGCACCUCGAUGUCGGCUCAUCGCAACCUGGGGCGGAAGUACGUCCCAAGGGUUGGGCUGUUCGCCCAUUAAAGCGGUACGUGAGCUGGGUUCAGAACGUCGUGAGACAGUUCGGUCCAUAUCCGGUGCAGGCGUAAGAGCAUUGAGAGGAGCCUUCCUUAGUACGAGAGGACCGGGAAGGACGCACCGCUGGUGUACCAGUUAUCGUACCAACGGUAAACGCUGGGUAGCCAAGUGCGGAGCGGAUAACCGCUGAAAGCAUCUAAGUGGGAAGCCCACCUCAAGAUGAGUGCUCUCACUACAUAAGUAGGUAAGGUCACGGGCAGAACACCCGUUCUUAGGCGGUAGGUGGAAGUGCAGUAAUGUAUGCAGCCGAGCCGUGCUAAUAGACCGAGGGCUUGACCU